This 935-nucleotide ribosomal RNA is filed under the name Listeria monocytogenes. RNAcentral describes it as "partial 23S ribosomal RNA". It matches the Rfam family "Bacterial large subunit ribosomal RNA", at positions 1993 to 2925 of the family's 2925-position model. The record is from RNAcentral. Lineage: Bacteria; Bacillati; Bacillota; Bacilli; Caryophanales; Listeriaceae.
CGAAAGGCGCAACGAUCUGGGCACUGUCUCAACGAGAGACUCGGUGAAAUUAUAGUACCUGUGAAGAUGCAGGUUACCCGCGACAGGACGGAAAGACCCCGUGGAGCUUUACUGCAACCUGAUAUGGAAUGUUUGUACCGCUUGUACAGGAUAGGUAGGAGCCGAAGAGACGUGUGCGCUAGCAUACGAGGAGGCAAUGGUGGGAUACUACCCUGGCUGUAUGACCAUUCUAACCCGCCACGCUUAGCGCGUGGGGAGACAGUGUCAGGUGGGCAGUUUGACUGGGGCGGUCGCCUCCUAAAGAGUAACGGAGGCGCCCAAAGGUUCCCUCAGAAUGGAUGGAAAUCAUUCGCAGAGUGUAAAGGCACAAGGGAGCUUGACUGCGAGACUGACAAGUCGAGCAGGGACGAAAGUCGGGCUUAGUGAUCCGGUGGUUCCGCAUGGAAGGGCCAUCGCUCAACGGAUAAAAGCUACCCCGGGGAUAACAGGCUUAUCUCCCCCAAGAGUCCACAUCGACGGGGAGGUUUGGCACCUCGAUGUCGGCUCGUCGCAUCCUGGGGCUGUAGUCGGUCCCAAGGGUUGGGCUGUUCGCCCAUUAAAGCGGCACGCGAGCUGGGUUCAGAACGUCGUGAGACAGUUCGGUCCCUAUCCGUCGCGGGCGCAGGAAAUUUGAGAGGAGCUGUCCUUAGUACGAGAGGACCGGGAUGGACACACCGCUGGUGUACCAGUUGUUCCGCCAGGAGCAUCGCUGGGUAGCUAUGUGUGGCAGGGAUAAACGCUGAAAGCAUCUAAGCGUGAAGCCCCCCUCAAGAUGAGAUUUCCCAUUUCUUCGGAAAGUAAGAUCCCUGAAAGAUGAUCAGGUAGAUAGGUUUGGAGUGGAAGUGUAGCGAUACAUGGAGCGGACAAAUACUAAUCGAUCGAGGACUUAACCAAAA